RNAcentral lists this transfer RNA (66 nucleotides) under Dolicheulota formosensis. RNAcentral's name for it is "tRNA-Leu". Lineage: Eukaryota; Metazoa; Mollusca; Gastropoda; Stylommatophora; Camaenidae. The record is from RNAcentral.
UAGUAGCUUAGCAGAAUAAUAUGCGUUUGACUUAGGAUCAUUUGAUAACUUUAGGUUAGCUAUUAA